RNAcentral lists this transfer RNA (77 nucleotides) under Patescibacteria group bacterium. Its description in RNAcentral is "tRNA-Ile". It matches the Rfam family "tRNA". From Rfam's summary of the family: Transfer RNA (tRNA) molecules are approximately 80 nucleotides in length. Their secondary structure includes four short double-helical elements and three loops (D, anti-codon, and T loops). The record is from RNAcentral.
GGGCGUGUAGCUCAGAUGGUUAGAGCGUCACACUGAUAAUGUGAAGGUCCCUGGUUCGAUUCCAGGCACGCCCACCA